GCACAAUGGGUUGAAAGCCUGAUGCAGCGACGCCGCGUGAGGGAUGACGGCCUUCGGGUUGUAAAGCUCUUUCAGCAGGGACGAAGCGUGAGUGACGGUACCUGCAGAAGAAGCACCGGCUAACUACGUGCCAGCAGCCGCGGUAAUACGUAGGGUGCAAGCGUUGUCCGGAAUUACUGGGCGUAAAGAGUUCGUAGGCGGUUUGUCACGUCGUUUGUGAAAACUCACAGCUCAACUGUGAGCCUGCAGGCCGAUACGGGCAGACUUGAGUACUGCAGGGGAGACUGGAAUUCCUGGUGUAGCCGGUGAAAUGCGCAGAUAUCAGGAGGAACACCGGUGGCGAAGGCGGGUCUCUGGGCAGUAACUGACGCUGAGGAACGAAAGCGUGGGUAGCGAACAGGAUUAGAUACCCUGGUAGUCCACGCCGUAAACGGUGGGCGCUAGGUGUGGGUUCCUUCCACGGGAUCCGUGCCGUAGCUAACGCAUUAAGCGCCCCGCCUGGGGAGUACGGCCGCAAGGCUAAAACUCAAAGGAAUUGACGGGGGCCCGCACAAGCGGCGGAGCAUGUGGAUUAAUUCGAUGCAACGCGAAGAACCUUACCUGGGUUUGACAUAUACCGGAAAGCUGCAGAGAUGUGGCCCCCCUUGUGGUCGGUAUACAGGUGGUGCAUGGCUGUCGUCAGCUCGUUCGUGAGAGUA
This 698-nucleotide ribosomal RNA is filed under the name Rhodococcus marinonascens. RNAcentral describes it as "bacterial SSU rRNA". It matches the Rfam family "Bacterial small subunit ribosomal RNA", at positions 366 to 1076 of the family's 1533-position model. The record is from RNAcentral. Lineage: Bacteria; Bacillati; Actinomycetota; Actinomycetes; Mycobacteriales; Nocardiaceae.